RNAcentral lists this transfer RNA (73 nucleotides) under [Bacteroides] pectinophilus. Its description in RNAcentral is "tRNA-Phe". It matches the Rfam family "tRNA". Rfam says of the family: Transfer RNA (tRNA) molecules are approximately 80 nucleotides in length. Their secondary structure includes four short double-helical elements and three loops (D, anti-codon, and T loops). Lineage: Bacteria; Bacillati; Bacillota; Clostridia; Eubacteriales. The record is from RNAcentral. RNAcentral also lists the same sequence under 3 other names.
GCCUGGAUAGCUCAGAUGGUAGAGCAGAGGACUGAAAAUCCUCGUGUCACUGGUUCGAUUCCUGUUCCAGGCA